This 253-nucleotide ribosomal RNA is filed under the name uncultured bacterium. RNAcentral's name for it is "partial 16S ribosomal RNA". It matches the Rfam family "Bacterial small subunit ribosomal RNA", at positions 524 to 776 of the family's 1533-position model. The record is from RNAcentral.
UACGUAGGGAGCAAGCGUUGUCCGGAAUCAUUGGGCGUAAAGCGCGCGUAGGCGGCCCUGUAAGUCCGUUGUGAAAGUCAAAGGCUCAACCUUUGAAAGCCGAUGGAUACUGCAGGGCUGGAGUCCGGAAGAGGCGAGUGGAAUUCCUGGUGUAGCGGUGGAAUGCGCAGAUAUCAGGAGGAACACCAAUAGCGAAGGCAGCUCGCUGGAACGGUACUGACGCUGAGGCGCGAAAGCGUGGGGAGCGAACAGG